AGAGUUUGAUCCUGGCUCAGAUUGAACGCUGGCGGCAGGCCUAACACAUGCAAGUCGAACGGUAACAGGAAGCAGCUUGCUGCUUCGCUGACGAGUGGCGGACGGGUGAGUAAUGUCUGGGAAACUGCCCGAUGGAGGGGGAUAACUACUGGAAACGGUAGCUAAUACCGCAUAACGUCGCAAGACCAAAGAGGGGGACCUUCGGGCCUCUUGCCAUCGGAUGUGCCCAGAUGGGAUUAGCUAGUUGGUGAGGUAACGGCUCACCAAGGCGACGAUCCCUAGCUGGUCUGAGAGGAUGACCAGCCACACUGGAACUGAGAUACGGUCCAGACUCCUACGGGAGGCAGCAGUGGGGAAUAUUGCACAAUGGGCGCAAGCCUGAUGCAGCCAUGCCGCGUGUAUGAAGAAGGCCUUCGGGUUGUAAAGUACUUUCAGCGGGGAGGAAGGGGAUGUGGUUAAUAACCGCAUUCAUUGACGUUACCCGCAGAAGAAGCACCGGCUAACUCCGUGCCAGCAGCCGCGGUAAUA
RNAcentral lists this ribosomal RNA (528 nucleotides) under uncultured bacterium. Its description in RNAcentral is "bacterial SSU rRNA". It matches the Rfam family "Bacterial small subunit ribosomal RNA", at positions 8 to 525 of the family's 1533-position model. The record is from RNAcentral.